AUUGAACGCUGGCGGCAUGCUUAACACAUGCAGGUCGAACGGCAGCACAGCAGAGCUUGCUCUGUGGGUGGCGAGUGGCGGACGGGUGAGUAAUGCAUCGGGACCUACCCAGACGUGGGGGAUAACGUAGGGAAACUUACGCUAAUACCGCAUACGUCCUACGGGAGAAAGCGGGGGAUCGCAAGACCCCGUGCGGUUGGAUGGACCGAUGUGCGAUUAGCUAGUUGGUAAGGUAACGGCUUACCAAGGCGACGAUCGCUAGCUGGUCUGAGAGGAUGAUCAGCCACACUGGGACUGAGACACGGCCCAGACUCCUACGGGAGGCAGCAGUGGGGAAUAUUGGACAAUGGGCGCAAGCCUGAUCCAGCAAUGCCGCGUGUGUGAAGAAGGCCCUCGGGUUGUAAAGCACUUUUAUCAGGAGCGAAAUCUGCAAGGUUAAUACCUUUGCAGUCUGACGGUACCUGAGGAAUAAGCACCGGCUAACUCCGUGCCAGCCGCCGCCGUAA
This 506-nucleotide ribosomal RNA is filed under the name uncultured bacterium. RNAcentral describes it as "partial 16S ribosomal RNA". It matches the Rfam family "Bacterial small subunit ribosomal RNA", at positions 30 to 523 of the family's 1533-position model. The record is from RNAcentral.